Small nucleolar RNA from Oryctolagus cuniculus (rabbit), 131 nucleotides. RefSeq annotates it as small nucleolar RNA SNORA17. The record is from RefSeq and is a predicted model, not a curated record. NCBI's taxonomy places the organism in Eukaryota, Metazoa, Chordata, Mammalia, Lagomorpha, Leporidae.
GCUGCCCCUCGAGGCGUUGCAGGCGCGGCUGGCGUGCCCCGCCUGUGUCAGCAGGUGGCGGAGAGGACGCGGCUAUGUCUACGCUCGGCGCUCUGGCCCGUGAGCGCCCGAAUGAUUAGUAGCCGGACACG